RNAcentral lists this unclassified non-coding RNA (395 nucleotides) under fungal sp. RNAcentral describes it as "partial internal transcribed spacer region". The stretch from base 1 to 46 matches the Rfam family "Eukaryotic small subunit ribosomal RNA", at positions 1786 to 1831 of the family's 1831-position model. Lineage: Eukaryota; Fungi. The record is from RNAcentral.
AAGUCGUAACAAGGUUUCCGUAGGUGAACCUGCGGAAGGAUCAUUAACACGUAUCCAACGUUAAAACCCCCCCCGUGAACCUUCAGACGUGCUCUGGUAGCCCACACGGCAUAGCAAUUCCUGGUAAAUCAUUGUCGGAAAUAGAUUUUGAGUCAGGAACUUCUGUCCGGUGAGAUAUACUACAGUUACCAUAGAAGCGCUAGUUCUAUCGGCAUUGUUUCCCUAAGCAGUCAGUGGCGUGAAAGUGGUCAACUGAUUGUGGAAGGAUAACGCUUAACGAUUUCGCAGCCGCUUCACGCGGGCGGAGCUUUGCCAAAGGGAUAUUAAAAAGCUCCAUUUUCAAUUAUGGAUGGGGUAAAACCGAACAACUGUUAACAAUGGAUAUCUUGGUUCUC